Molecule: long non-coding RNA, 1730 nt
Filed under: Nicotiana tabacum (common tobacco)
Lineage: Eukaryota; Viridiplantae; Streptophyta; Magnoliopsida; Solanales; Solanaceae
Description: long non-coding RNA (NTAB_LNC008952)
Source: RNAcentral
GAAGGGGCGGAUUUCUCUCAAAUAACUGCUAUAAAUAGAGCAUAAGUUGGAGAGAAAGAAGAACACAUCGGAAAAAACACUUGAAACACUCUGUAUACACUGGAUAUACACUGGAUAUACACUCUGUAUACACUGGAUAUACACUCUGCAUAUACUGGAUAUACACUCUGUAUACACUGCGUAUACACUGGAAAAACGAAUUGCAAUUUGAUAUUCUCUUGAGUAAGAAUUCAACAUUGGCUAUACUUUGCAUUCCUUCCUCUCAGAAUUUCCAUUCGACUUCUGAGUUGUCCUCCUUAUUCUGCAUUGUUUUUAACUACAAACAAAGCAUCCAUAAGUGUGAUUUGUUGCCGAACUUUGUGUUCGCUGAAACACUGGGGUUUGAAGUACCGCUACACCAGUGUGUAAUUCGUUCUAUCCUGGGAGGAAAUAAUCUAUAACCUUGGGUACUAGGAGGGGAUUAAAUUCCUUAAGGAAACACUGUGAAUUCAGUGGGCUCGAAUUAAUUUCUGUUUUUAAUUUAUAUUUACAUUUAUAAGCUAACGUUCUAAUUUCCAGAAUCAUUAUUUACAAGUACAGAGGAACAACAGAAAAUGCAUUACAAUAUUUGUGUUUAAUCUAAUAAACAUUUCUGGUGUUCAACUAAGCAUCUUAAUCUUUUGACUGAAUACAUUCUUUUCUAUCUGAUAGAAGACAAAAAAGAAGAUAUCCUUUAUUUUUCUUCAAUCUAAAAAUGAUGUAUACUUAUUUGAUCAACCAAUUGGAGCUGCAAAUGCUGACAAGAAUUCAUCACCUCUUUCUUAUAAAUUAGAAUAUCCUAUGUAGACUUGAAUGAAGGACUAACAACUCUUUUCUUAUGGGUGAUGUUUCAUAUUUGCCUUCUAUCAUCAUAAGUUUAUACAUUUGUCCCUUUAAGCAAGUACAUCGUUACUUGGAUGUUGUUUUGCUUUAUAGUAAAUUAUUCAUUUUAUCUGGUUUCCCAGUUACCUUAUUGCUGUUGCUGGCUUCUAAAGCUUAUGGAGUUAAAAUAUGUCACAUGGGCGAAUCUUGAAGUUACUUCCUUUGUUUCUUAGGAUGACCAUAAUUUUUAAGGGAGCUUGACAUACUCUCUUGAAUGGUAAAUCCCGAGUUACCGUAAUGAAAUUUAUCGGAUCGAAGUUUGUUUCUUUUGUUAGUUUUUCCUGCUCUGUUUUUGAACUUUCUGGAAGCUCUUUGUUAUGAAUAUGGAAAUGGCUAUUGUGAGGCAAGCAGCUAUAGUGAGCUUAACUGCAAGCUUCAAACUUUCCUUGUUCUCCAUUUAAAGAUUCACUUUGAUUAUCUGAUUCUUCUUUCCCUUUUGCACAUUGCUUAUUAUUGUGCAAUUUUAAAUCUAAGUUUCCAGAACUUUUCUAAUUAAUUUUCUUAUAUUCUUGUAGCCUUGUUGAUAUUGCUGGAUAACACAUGAAUUUAGAUUGCUUUUGGGGUAAGUGGUUUAGCCAUUGGUAGUGUAAAUUUUAUAAGUUUACCAAUAGUUAUUCAUCGUCUUUUCAAAAUUUUGUACUUACAGAUUUUGAAGAUUGAAGCUACAAGUCAAGAUUCAAGUUUGAAAGAUACACAAGCUCGUUAUUAUUUUGCUAGGAAUGUUAUGUAAAACUUGAUAUUAUAGACUAGCUCAGGAUGUUAGCUAAGUUUUUUUGUUAAGAUGUUGAGCAAAUAUUGAAACUAAUAUCAUGGGAUGUUAACAUAGUAAU